Rodentibacter heidelbergensis is the source of this 130-nucleotide non-coding RNA. NCBI's taxonomy places the organism in Bacteria, Pseudomonadati, Pseudomonadota, Gammaproteobacteria, Pasteurellales, Pasteurellaceae. The record is from Rfam.
CCAUCAUCACCACACCUGAUUAUCUUUCAGGCGUGUUUUUGUGGCUGGAAGAUAACAAAAUGGUCUUCCGAGUGCGAUAACAUCAUCAAAUCAUCACCCCUCGGAAGGAAACUUUCGAGGGGUUUUUGUU